This 472-nucleotide ribosomal RNA is filed under the name uncultured bacterium. RNAcentral describes it as "bacterial SSU rRNA". It matches the Rfam family "Bacterial small subunit ribosomal RNA", at positions 355 to 825 of the family's 1533-position model. The record is from RNAcentral.
UGGGGAAUUGUUCACAAUGGGCGCAAGCCUGAUGACGCAACGCCGCGUGGGGGAUGAAGGUCUUCGGAUCGUAAACCCCUGUCGAAUGGGACGAAAGACUCGCGAGUGAAUACUUCGCGAGAGUGACGGUACCGUUAAAGGAAGCCACGGCUAACUCUGUGCCAGCAGCCGCGGUAAUACAGAGGUGGCAAGCGUUGUUCGGAAUUACUGGGCGUAAAGGGCGCGUAGGCGGCCCUCUAAGUCAGACGUGAAAUCCCCCGGCUUAACCUGGGAACUGCGUCUGAUACUGGAGGCUUGAGUAUGGGANAGGGAUGUAGAAUUCCAGGUGUAGCGGUGAAAUGCGUAGAUAUCUGGAGGAAUACCGGUGGCGAAGGCGGCAUCCUGGACCAUUACUGACGCUGAGGCGCGAAAGCUAGGGGAGCAAACGGGAUUAGAUACCCCUGUAGUCCCUGAGCGGGCUGGCAAGGCGCAU